UACGUAGGGUGCAAGCGUUGUCCGGAAUUAUUGGGCGUAAAGAGCUCGUAGGCGGUUUGUCGCGUCUGCUGUGAAAACCCGAGGCUCAACCUCGGGCCUGCAGUGGGUACGGGCAGAUUAGAGUGCGGUAGGGGAGAUUGGAAUUCCUGGUGUAGCGGUGGAAUGCGCAGAUAUCAGGAGGAACACCGAUGGCGAAGGCAGAUCUCUGGGCCGUAACUGACGCUGAGGAGCGAAAGCAUGGGGAGCGAACAGG
This 253-nucleotide ribosomal RNA is filed under the name uncultured bacterium. RNAcentral's name for it is "partial 16S ribosomal RNA". It matches the Rfam family "Bacterial small subunit ribosomal RNA", at positions 524 to 776 of the family's 1533-position model. The record is from RNAcentral.